RNAcentral lists this long non-coding RNA (435 nucleotides) under Polistes fuscatus (common paper wasp). RNAcentral describes it as "uncharacterized LOC122520573". The record is from RNAcentral. Lineage: Eukaryota; Metazoa; Arthropoda; Insecta; Hymenoptera; Vespidae.
CUUUGUUUCUUUUAUUUUUAUUUUCUCAGACGCGUUCGAUUAUCCUUGGAUAUGUUCUGCUCGUGUUUUUUACCGUGGACGAGGUAACGAUAUUGUAAAAGCGCAUUUGCAAUUUUAUGCCAACUUCAUUACAAACACCGAAGAAGAGAACGGCGCGGCCGUAAUCGAUAAACGAUAAAAUAAGAGCUGAUAGAAGAUAUAUUCGCGAAAGGGAGACGAAGAGAGAGAAUGGGAGAGUGUGAUAGAGAGAGAGAGAGAGAGAAAGCACUUCCUUGUUGAUUUUACGCCGUCGAGAAUCGGAAAGCCUGUUGAGAAUGGAAAGCCCUGUUAUCGGCGAAGCGCGAUCGCUCAGAAAUGGAAUAUCGUUAACCCUUUGUGAUACGAGACGCUUCGCUGACGAUUAAAAAAGAAAAGAAAAUCCACUUGAGCAAGAAA